Molecule: ribosomal RNA, 243 nt
Filed under: uncultured bacterium
Lineage: Bacteria
Description: partial 16S ribosomal RNA
Rfam family: Bacterial small subunit ribosomal RNA
Source: RNAcentral
CAUGCGAGACUGCCCUGGUUAACAGGGAGGAAGGCGGGGAUGACGUCAAGUCAGCAUGGCCCUUACACCUUGGGCUACACACGUGUUACAAUGGCCGGUACAAUAAGUCGCAAUACCGCAAGGUGGAGCUAAUCUAUGAAAACCGGUCCCAGUUCGGAUUGGGGGCUGCAACUCGCCCCCAUGAAGUUGGAAUCGCUAGUAACCGUAAAUCAGCAUGUUACGGUGAAUACGUUCCCGGGUCUU